GACGAACGCUGGCGGCGUGCUUAACACAUGCAAGCCGAACGGAAAGGCCCUGCUUUUGUGGGGUGCUCGAGUGGCGAACGGGUGAGUAACACGUGAGUAACCUGCCCUUGACUUUGGGAUAACUUCAGGAAACUGGGGCUAAUACCGGAUAGGAGCUCCUGCUGCAUGGUGGGGGUUGGAAAGUUUCGGCGGUUGGGGAUGGACUCGCGGCUUAUCAGCUUGUUGGUGGGGUAGUGGCUUACCAAGGCUUUGACGGGUAGCCGGCCUGAGAGGGUGACCGGCCACAUUGGGACUGAGAUACGGCCCAGACUCCUACGGGAGGCAGCAGUGGGGAAUAUUGCACAAUGGGCGGAAGCCUGAUGCAGCAACGCCGCGUGCGGGAUGACGGCCUUCGGGCUGUAAACCGCUUUCGCCUGUGACGAAGCGUGAGUGACGGUAAUGGGUAAAGAAGCACCGGCUAACUACGUG
This 468-nucleotide ribosomal RNA is filed under the name uncultured bacterium. RNAcentral describes it as "partial 16S ribosomal RNA". It matches the Rfam family "Bacterial small subunit ribosomal RNA", at positions 28 to 507 of the family's 1533-position model. The record is from RNAcentral.